This 445-nucleotide ribosomal RNA is filed under the name uncultured bacterium. RNAcentral's name for it is "bacterial SSU rRNA". It matches the Rfam family "Bacterial small subunit ribosomal RNA", at positions 330 to 792 of the family's 1533-position model. The record is from RNAcentral.
UCCAGACUCCUGCGGGAGGCAGCAGUGGGGGAUAUUGCACAAUGGGGGGAACCCUGAUGCAGCGACGCCGCGUGGGUGAAGAAGCGCCUCGGCGCGUAAAGCCCUGUCAGCAGGGAAGAAAAUGACGGUACCUGAAGAAGAAGCCCCGGCUAACUACGUGCCAGCAGCCGCGGUAAUACGUAGGGGGCAAGCGUUAUCCGGAUUUACUGGGUGUAAAGGGGGCGCAGACGGCGAUGCAAGCCAGGAGUGAAAGCCCGGGGCCCAACCCCGGGACUGCUCUGGAAACUGUAUAGCUGGAGUGCAGGAGAGGUAAGUGGAAUUCCUAGUGUAGCGGUGAAAUGCGUAGAUAUUAGGAGGGACACCAGUGGCGAAGGCGGCUUACUGGACUGUAACUGACGUUGAGGCUCGAGAGCGUGGGGAGCAAACAGGAUUAGAUACCCCGGUA